Molecule: ribosomal RNA, 433 nt
Filed under: uncultured bacterium
Lineage: Bacteria
Description: partial 16S ribosomal RNA
Rfam family: Bacterial small subunit ribosomal RNA
Source: RNAcentral
GGGGGGGGGGGGGGGGGGGCCGGGGAGAGGCAGGGCGGACGGGGGCGGGGGGGGGAGGGGCGCGCGGGUGCGGGGGGGGGGGGGCCCGGCGCUUGGGUUCGGGAUGACGCGGAGAAGUUGGAGCUAAUCCCGGAUAAGUGGUUCGGACCACAGAUGUAUCGCCUUUGGAUGGGCGCGCGUUGGCUUAGCUAGUUGGUGGGGUAAAGGCCUACCAAGGCGACGAUCCAUAGCUGGUCUGAGAGGAUGAUCAGCAACACUGGGACUGAGACACGGCCCAGACUCCUGCGGGAGGCAGCAGUGGGGAAUAUUGGACAAUGGGCGAAAGCCUGAUCCAGCAAUGCCGCGUGAGUGAUGAAGGCCUGAGGGUUGUAAAGCUCUUUUACCCGGGAUGAUAAUGACAGUACCGGGAGAAUAAGCCCCGGCUAACUCCGUG